Molecule: long non-coding RNA, 1283 nt
Organism: Olea europaea var. sylvestris
Lineage: Eukaryota; Viridiplantae; Streptophyta; Magnoliopsida; Lamiales; Oleaceae
Exons: 2
Source: RefSeq, a predicted model, not a curated record
CAUUUAGGGAGAUAUUAUGAAUUUUCUUUAGAUUGAAUUUUGGGGAUUGUUCCAUAAAUCAAGCUAAUUUGUGUUAUUUGGCUUUAUUAAAAAUUAAUCAUCUUUACCACAAAUUAAGAGUAACUUUAGAAAUAAUAGUGCCUGGUGUAGUGCCAACCCUUCCAUUUCCAUAUUUCCCCCAACCCAAAUCCAACCCAAGAAACUGGCUGCAAAGUGCAAACCCUUCCAUUUCCAUAUUUCCAUUUGAAGUAGAAGCGUGAAUUCAUGGCAGUGGAGCGUGUGCGAAGUCAGGGACGAGAAGCGGAAGCAUUAGCUGUGUGGUGUUGGUGAAGUGUGAAGUUCGAAUCCGUGGCGGUGGAUUUUUUCGACUUUGUGCGCAUGUAUUUUUCUUCAAAUUUGACAGACCUUUGUUAAUUUUUGUGUAUAAAGAAUUAAUUCUGCAACCAGCCCUUCUGCGUUCUACCGCCUGUGCGUAUAUGUCUUCCCUUUAAUUCAAGCCUCUACCCUUUUUCUACUAUGUACACAAAACAAAUUCGAUCCCCCGUUUUUUGCUGUGUUCCAAUCGUCUUUUCUAUGGUUCUCUCCCUUUUUCUUCAAUGUUGGCGUGUAUAUCUGUUCUCCACCAAGGCAGUCGCCUUUUUGUGUAUCCCCCCGGUAGUAUAUAUUAAUUUAAGGCAGCAAUUCUCAUCUACUUGAACUCCAAUUCCCCUCAAAAGGAGCCAACAACUUGUAGUUUAUUUCACCUCAAAUUCCCACCAGUAGCCGCAAUAUCUGUAUUGAGAGAGUUCAAAAGCAAUUGCAUUUUUUUACUACAAAACCAGUCCCUUUUGCCUCCAUUUUCUAUUGCAUAUAUAUGUUCAGCCUUUCAGUCUUUCCUCCAAUUUCAACAAUUGGCAGCCUCAAAUUGUACUUAUCAGUGGACCGUGUGUGAAGUUAGGGACAAGAAACAGAGGCAGCAGUUGCGCGGCGCCUGCAAAUUGGGAAAGAAUUGAAUAGUUAUGGCUGCAGAGGUGCCAAGCUGAGCAUAUUAAUGGGGUGCAGAAGGAAUUGAUGCAAUGGAAGAUGAGAAUACUAAAAGCAACAGAGAAGUGGGCACAACUGCCAUUUUAAUGUAUUGUUUAAUAGUGAAUAUACAAUGCUCAUUUCCUUUUGAAAAUCUCAUUGGUGGAACAUGUUUUGUGGUCUUGUAAUUAUAUUUUGGUGGUACAUGUUUUAAUUUUAUUUUGGAAAAUAGAAUGUGUUGAACAUUUUACAAGUUUAUUAUGCGAAUUAUUAGUUUAUUA